Molecule: non-coding RNA, 148 nt
Filed under: Pan troglodytes (chimpanzee)
Lineage: Eukaryota; Metazoa; Chordata; Mammalia; Primates; Hominidae
Source: Rfam by way of RNAcentral
GCUGGGCAUGGUGGCGGGCGCCUGUAAUCCCAGCUACUCGGGAGGCUGAGGUAGGAGAAUUGCUUGAACCCAGGAGAUGGAGGUUGCAGUGAGCUGAGAUUGUGCCACUGCACUCCACCCUGGGUGACAGAGCGAGACUCUGUCUCAA